Molecule: ribosomal RNA, 458 nt
Filed under: uncultured bacterium
Lineage: Bacteria
Description: bacterial SSU rRNA
Rfam family: Bacterial small subunit ribosomal RNA
Source: RNAcentral
CCCGACUCCUACGGGAGGCAGCAGUGCGGAAUAUUGGUCACUGGACGAGAGUCUGCCCCAGCCAAGUCGCUUGAAGGAUUACUGCACUAUGGGUUUUCCCCUUCUUUUAUCUUUGAAUAAAAUGCUCCACGUGUGUUCUUUUGUAUGCACCCUCUUAAUAAGGCUCUGCUAACUCCGUUCCCUCAGCCGCGUUCCUACGGAGGAUCCGCUCUUUAUCCGGAUUUAUUGGGUUUAAAGGGAGCGUAGGGGGAGGUUUAAGUCAGGGUGGAAAGUUGGCGGAGCAACCGUAAAAUUGCAGUUGAAACUGGCAGUCUUGAGUACAGUGGAGGUGGGCGGAAUUCGUGGUGUAGCGGUGAAAUUCUUAGAGAGCGAGAAGAACUCCGAUUGCGAAGGCAGCGCACUGGACUGCAACUGACACUGAGGCGCGAAAGUGUGGGGAUCAAACAGGAUUAGAUACC